GACGAACCGUGCGAACGUUAUUCGGAAUCACUGGGCUUAAAGGGUGCGUAGGCGGCCCUGAGGGUGGGGUGUGAAAUCCCUCGGCUUAACCGAGGAAUUGCGCUCCAAACCGCAGGGCUGGAGUGAGACAGAGGUGAGCGGAACUGAUGGUGGAGCGGUGAAAUGCGUUGAUAUCAUCAGGAACACCAGAGGCGAAGGCGGCUCACUGGGUCUCAACUGACGCUGAUGCACGAAAGCUAGGGUAGCGAACGGG
RNAcentral lists this unclassified non-coding RNA (253 nucleotides) under uncultured Pirellulaceae bacterium. RNAcentral's name for it is "contains 16S-23S intergenic spacer region". It matches the Rfam family "Bacterial small subunit ribosomal RNA", at positions 524 to 776 of the family's 1533-position model. Lineage: Bacteria; Pseudomonadati; Planctomycetota; Planctomycetia; Pirellulales; Pirellulaceae. The record is from RNAcentral.